This 480-nucleotide ribosomal RNA is filed under the name uncultured bacterium. RNAcentral describes it as "bacterial SSU rRNA". It matches the Rfam family "Bacterial small subunit ribosomal RNA", at positions 791 to 1268 of the family's 1533-position model. The record is from RNAcentral.
UAGUCCACGCCCUAAACGAUGCUUACUCGAUGUUUGGGCUAUAAGCUUGAGCAUCCAAGGGAAACCAUUAAGUAAGCCACCUGGGGAGUACGUUCGCAAGAAUGAAACUCAAAGGAAUUGACGGGGUCCGCACAAGCGGUGGAGCAUGUGGUUUAAUUCGAGGCAACGCGAAGAACCUUACCAGCCCUUGACAUACUGGUCGCGGAUUUCAGAGAUGAUUUCCUUCAGCUUGGCUGGACCAUGUACAGGUGCUGCACGGCUGUCGUCAGCUCGUGUCGUGAGAUGUUGGGUUAAGUCCCGCAACGAGCGCAACCCUCAUCCUUAGUUGCUAACAUUUAGUUGAGAACUCUAAGGAAACUGCCGGUGAUAAACCGGAGGAAGGUGGGGAUGACGUCAAGUCUUCAUGGGCCCUUAUGGGGCUGGGGCUACACACGUGCUACAAUGGCGAUGACAAAGGGCAGCGACCUCGCGAGGGGAAGC